GUCUACGGGCAUACCACCAUGAACAUGCCCGAUCUUGUCUGAUCUCGGAAGCUAAGCAGGGUCGGGCCUGGUUAGUACUUGGAUGGGAGACAAAUAGCCAGCUCUUACCAUUUUGUUU
This 118-nucleotide ribosomal RNA is filed under the name Octodon degus (degu). Lineage: Eukaryota; Metazoa; Chordata; Mammalia; Rodentia; Octodontidae. The record is from RNAcentral.